RNAcentral lists this ribosomal RNA (594 nucleotides) under uncultured Acidobacteriota bacterium. RNAcentral's name for it is "bacterial SSU rRNA". It matches the Rfam family "Bacterial small subunit ribosomal RNA", at positions 8 to 601 of the family's 1533-position model. The record is from RNAcentral. Lineage: Bacteria; Pseudomonadati; Acidobacteriota.
AGAGUUUGAUCCUGGCUCAGAGCGAACGCUGGCGGAGUGGAAAGAAAGUAAAUUGAGCGCUGAUUUCGGGGUAGCAAUAUUCUUAACUUGGAGCGGCGCAAGGGUGCGUAACACGUGGGUAAUCUGCCAUGAAGUCUGGAAUAACUUGCUGAAAGGCGAGCUAAUGCCGGAUGUGGCCCCUGGGAGGCAUCUCCUGGUGGCUGAAGUUGGGGACCGUAAGGCCUGACGCUUCAUGAUGAACCCGCGGCCUAUCAGCUAGUUGGUGAGGUAGUGGCUCACCAAGGCGACGACGGGUAGCCGGCCUGAGAGGGCGCACGGACACACUGGAACUGAAACACGGUCCAGACUCCUACGGGAGGCAGCAGCGGGGAAUUUUGCGCAAUGGGGGAAACCCUGACGCAGCAACGCCGCGUGGAGGAUGAAGCCCCUUGGGGCGCAAACUCCUUUCUACCAAGACAAUAAUGACGGUACUGGUGGAAGAAGCACCGGCUAACUCUGUGCCAGCAGCCGCGGUAAUACAGAGGGUGCGAGCGUUGUUCGGAAUUAUUGGGCGUAAAGGGCGCGUAGGCGGUGCCACAAGUCACUUGUGAAAUC